RNAcentral lists this ribosomal RNA (867 nucleotides) under Penicillium subrubescens. RNAcentral describes it as "LSU rRNA". It matches the Rfam family "Eukaryotic large subunit ribosomal RNA", at positions 74 to 959 of the family's 3401-position model. Lineage: Eukaryota; Fungi; Ascomycota; Eurotiomycetes; Eurotiales; Aspergillaceae. The record is from RNAcentral.
AUUGCCUCAGUAACGGCGAGUGAAGCGGCAAGAGCUCAAAUUUGAAAGCUGGCCCCCUCGGGGUCCGCAUUGUAAUUUGCAGAGGAUGCUUCGGGAGUGGCCCCCAUCUAAGUGCCCUGGAACGGGCCGUCAUAGAGGGUGAGAAUCCCGUCUGGGAUGGGGUGUCCACGCCCGUGUGAAGCUCCUUCGACGAGUCGAGUUGUUUGGGAAUGCAGCUCUAAAUGGGUGGUAAAUUUCAUCUAAAGCUAAAUACUGGCCGGAGACCGAUAGCGCACAAGUAGAGUGAUCGAAAGAUGAAAAGCACUUUGAAAAGAGAGUUAAACAGCACGUGAAAUUGUUGAAAGGGAAGCGCUUGCGACCAGACUCGCCCACGGGGUUCAGCCGGCAUUCGUGCCGGUGUACUUCCCCGCGGGCGGGCCAGCGUCGGUUUGGGCGGCCGGUCAAAGGCCCUUGGAAUGUAACGCCCCCCGGGGCGUCUUAUAGCCAAGGGUGCCAUGCGGCCAGCCCGGACCGAGGAACGCGCUUCGGCUCGGACGCUGGCAUAAUGGUCGUAAGCGACCCGUCUUGAAACACGGACCAAGGAGUCUAACAUCUACGCGAGUGUUCGGGUGUCAAACCCGUGCGCGCAGUGAAAGCGAACGGAGGUGGGAACCCCUCGGGGCGCACCAUCGACCGAUCCUGAAGUCUUCGGAUGGAUUUGAGUAAGAGCGUAGCUGUUGGGACCCGAAAGAUGGUGAACUAUGCCUGAAUAGGGCGAAGCCAGAGGAAACUCUGGUGGAGGCUCGCAGCGGUUCUGACGUGCAAAUCGAUCGUCAAAUUUGGGUAUAGGGGCGAAAGACUAAUCGAACCAUCUAGUAGCUGGUCUGC